RNAcentral lists this ribosomal RNA (492 nucleotides) under uncultured bacterium. RNAcentral describes it as "partial 16S ribosomal RNA". It matches the Rfam family "Bacterial small subunit ribosomal RNA", at positions 29 to 507 of the family's 1533-position model. The record is from RNAcentral.
AGUGAACGCUGGCGGUAGGCCUAACACAUGCAAGUCGAACGGCGGCACAGUAAGAGCUUGCUCUUACGGGUGGCGAGUGGCGGACGGGUGAGGAAUACAUCGGAAUCUACUUUUUCGUGGGGGAUAACGUAGGGAAACUUACGCUAAUACCGCAUACGACCUACGGGUGAAAGCAGGGGAUCUUCGGACCUUGCGCGAUUGAAUGAGCCGAUGUCGGAUUAGCUAGUUGGCGGGGUAAAGGCCCACCAAGGCGACGAUCCGUAGCUGGUCUGAGAGGAUGAUCAGCCACACUGGAACUGUGACACGGUCCAGACUCCUACGGGAGGCAGCAGUGGGGAAUAUUGGACAAAGGGCGCAAGCCUGAUCCAGCCAUACCGCGUGGGUGAAGAAGGCCUUCGGGUUGUAAAGCCCUUUUGUUGGGAAAGAAAAGCAGCAGGUUAAUACCCCGCUGUUCUGACGGUACCCAAAGAAUAAGCACCGGCUAACUUCGUG